UGAUAAAAUCUUGAUCUCGAUCGUCUAGCUUUACAUAACUAUCAAGUAUUUUCAGGCAUAACCAACAAGCUCGAAUCUACAAGCAAACCAACAUGCUCUUCAAAUCAACUAAAUAUGAACAGGGUCCAUUUGCGGUUAAAUAACAUGGUUCUCUCCUAAUGAAAAUACUAAAGACAUAAUUUAAGAAAAACAUCAAGGAUCAAACACGGACACCACUUCCGAUGGCUUUUUAUCAAGUAUUUUCAGGCAUAACCAACAAGCUCGAAUCUACAAGCAAACCAACAUGCUCUUCAAAUCAACUAAAUAUGAACAGGGACAUGGUCCAUUUACGGUUAAAUAACAUGGUUCUCUCCUAAUGAAAAUACUAAAGACAUAAUUUAAGAAAAACAUCAAGGAUCAAACACGGACACCACUUCCGAUGGCUUUUACUCAUCACCAAAACAGACCAAUCUUAUACAUUAUAUUGCUAGAAAUGCAUUUAGUCAUGGUAGUUUUCUUUAAAAAAAAAUGAAUGAAUUAUGAAUCCAGUAACUUAGCACAUAUUUUUCAUGUAAUCCUCCUAAUGAAGAAAGCUUGAGCAAAAGAUAGCAUAUUAAUUUUUGGUAGACUGACCUUUUGGAGAGCAGCGAACUGAAACUGAAGCCCUUCAGUUACAAUUCUACUCUCGAAUACGAAUGAUUCUGAGUUUUAAACACUCGAUUUCGGGAUCACAACAAAAAAAAAGUGAUAAGCUUUGCUGAGAGGAGAGAUGCGGCGGAGGAUCAAAAGCUUUGUAUUUAUAGAGAAAAACUAGGGUUCACUUUCUUGAGCGGGAAUUGGUCCUUCAAUUUGGGUCUAUUCAACUGUUCACGUGAUUGAUACGGACACAACACGAAAAUGGAGUAACAUAUUCUGCCAUGCUUAGUGAAGCUUGUUGUUUGCCCAAAAAUGGAAGCGGCACUUUGGGAGGGGGAAA
Molecule: long non-coding RNA, 955 nt
Filed under: Capsicum annuum
Lineage: Eukaryota; Viridiplantae; Streptophyta; Magnoliopsida; Solanales; Solanaceae
Description: long non-coding RNA (CANN_LNC005694)
Source: RNAcentral